Molecule: ribosomal RNA, 484 nt
Filed under: uncultured bacterium
Lineage: Bacteria
Description: partial 16S ribosomal RNA
Rfam family: Bacterial small subunit ribosomal RNA
Source: RNAcentral
AUUGAACGCUGGCGGCAGGCCUAACACAUGCAAGUCGAGCGGAUGAGGGGAGCUUGCUCCUGGAUUCAGCGGCGGACGGGUGAGUAAUGCCUAGGAAUCUGCCUGGUAGUGGGGGAUAACGUCCGGAAACGGGCGCUAAUACCGCAUACGUCCUGAGGGAGAAAGUGGGGGAUCUUCGGACCUCACGCUAACAGAUGAGCCUAGGUCGGAUUAGCUAGUUGGUGGGGUAAAGGCCUACCAAGGCGACGAUCCGUAACUGGUCUGAGAGGAUGAUCAGUCACACUGGAACUGAGACACGGUCCAGACUCCUACGGGAGGCAGCAGUGGGGAAUAUUGGACAAUGGGCGAAAGCCUGAUCCAGCCAUGCCGCGUGUGUGAAGAAGGUCUUCGGAUUGUAAAGCACUUUAAGUUGGGAGGAAGGGCAGUAAGUUAAUACCUUGCUGUUUUGACGUUACCAACAGAAUAAGCACCGGCUAACUUCGUG